AUUGAACGCUGGCGGCAGGCCUAACACAUGCGAGUCGAGCGGAUGAAGGGAGCUUGCUCCUGGAUUCAGCGGCGGACGGGUGAGUAAUGCCUAGUAAUCUGCCUGGUAGUGGGGGAUAACGUCCGGAAACGGGCGCUAAUACCGCAUACGUCCUGAGGGGGAAAGUGGGGGAUCUUCGGACCUCACGCUAUCAGAUGAGCCUAGGUCGGAUUAGCUAGUUGGUGGGGUAAAGGCCUACCAAGGCGACGAUCCGUAACUGGUCUGAGAGGAUGAUCAGUCACACUGGAACUGAGACACGGUCCAGACUCCUACGGGAGGCAGCAGUGGGGAAUAUUGGGCAAUGGGCGAAAGCCUGAUCCAGCCAUGCCGCGUGUGUGAAGAAGGUCUUCGGAUUGUAAAGCACUUUAAGUUGGGAGGAAGGGCAGUAAGUUAAUACCUUGCUGUUUUGACGUUACCAACAGAAUAAGCACCGGCUAACUUCGUG
Molecule: ribosomal RNA, 484 nt
Filed under: uncultured bacterium
Lineage: Bacteria
Description: partial 16S ribosomal RNA
Rfam family: Bacterial small subunit ribosomal RNA
Source: RNAcentral